UUUACGGGGAUAAUAAGUUAGUCCCCGAAUACAACCCCUGAUGUAGUUUUAGUUCAGAAAUUGAAACGAGGAAUAUAUGAUCAGGAAUUAAUGCAUGAUAUGUCUGAGCAGUUUUAUUUUGUUAAAGUAAUGUGUAUCUUGUGGACUUGGUAGCUGGUUGUUUAUGUUAUUUCUGUUUUCUUUUAGGAAGUGAGUUGUUGCAGAAAUCUUUGUUGAGAGGCAAUUGUGUGGAUGAGUACUCAAAAUGCUAUUCUGUAGAACUUAGAUGAGCUGCAAUUUGGGGAUCUUAUGCUUGGUUCUAUUCAUAGAAAGCUUAAUUUUUGGGACAAGAAUGGUGAGGUAAGUGGCAUGGAUCAAACUCAAUCUGCAAUAAGUGAGUCGGGAGAAACUCCUGGAAAUCAAUCUCACGAGCAGAACCAGGAGCAUCAACAGAAUGGAGAUGCUGAAGACGAAACCCCUCCUCUAAAGAAAAUACGCAGGGCUCCAAUUUCGGAAGCCAAUAGUUUCCUGAUGAAACAUGUUCACAUUCUUCUAUUACAGUGGACUAUUUUUUUUGUUUGAUGAGUUAAUAAGUUUAUCAUUAAAGGCAUUAAGAAGAUGCAAGUCAAAGGUGGUCAACAUGGACGAACUUUCAGGAGUAAAUUUUAUUGAGAUUUUGGAUUUGUGAAUUGAAAAAUUAGGUGCAUUCAUGCCUAAUUGCAUUGAAAAGUGUGGUGAGUUUUCAUCCGCCGCUUCCUUUUCUUUCCUUGAACUUUCGGUAACUUACCGACCUACCUACCUUUUGGAUAGUAAAAAAUUCGUGCAUUUGUUUGGGAAAAAAUUGGUCUCGUUGAGUUGAUUUGUGAUUCACCAGUACUGAAGUUUUCUGUAGAUGAAAAUGUUCCAGAGCAUUUUUGAACAUGUCUGGGUUACCUUAAGGGCAAAAUUCCUUCAGAAUUUGGUUGUAUUCAGUUUGUGUAGGUUUUACAACAAUUACAUGGUAGUGGAGGAUGGCUUACUUUGUUUUGUAAUUGAUCUGCAGUAAGCUAAUUUGGGUAAAAUGGAUUUGGAUUGGCUCAGUUAUGGUUGAUGGUUGUUGCUACAGGAGUUAGGAAGGACUGCGCUUGCAGUGCGAGGUUGUGGCAGGAUCAGCAGCAUGGCUUGGCAGAGGCCUUUCAUGUGUUUGUGCUCAAAGGAGAGAGAGUGAUGCUCGUCCAUCGUUUGAUUUAACUCCAUCCCAGGAGGAAUGUUUGCUAAGGCUACAAAACCGUAUAGAUGUUGCAUAUGAUAGUUCCAUCCCUGAGCAUCGGAAGCUUUAAAAGCUUUGUGGAAAGUUGCCUUUCCUGAGGAAAAACUUUAUGGUUUGAUAUCUGAACAGUGGAAGGAAAUGGGCUGGCAAGGAAAAGAUCCAUCUACUGACUUUAGGUACAUCAGCAUCUCACUUUCCCAAAAUUGAAAAGAAGGAAAAAAAGGAGUAUUCUCAGGGGUGGUGGAUUUAUAUCACUGGAGAACUUGUUAUAUUUUGCGA
RNA transcript from Capsicum annuum, 1507 nucleotides. RefSeq lists it as uncharacterized. The record is from RefSeq and is a predicted model, not a curated record. The transcript is spliced from 5 exons. Lineage: Eukaryota; Viridiplantae; Streptophyta; Magnoliopsida; Solanales; Solanaceae.